GAGUUUGAGUUGCGUCUCUGGCUUACUUGACAGAAACACGAAACACUCUACAAUUUCCCGACAAGCACAGCGCGCCAGGAAACAGCGGGUGGACUAUCGACUAGCAGGGAGGGAAGAGCAAAGGGGUUCGAAACAUCUAAUGUCGUCUUCCGUAGAUCGUCUCUCCAGGGUUUGGUCUAUUCACGAACUUGCGUCGUCUUUCAACAGCAAACAAUGAUGUGGCUGUAGUUUAGAGCAAACACACAGCAACAAUUUGAAAAAUUUAGCUUCUUGAAGGCCAACCUGCGUGUGUGUGUUUUUAUCAGUAGAUACAUACAGUCACUUGUAAAAACUGCAACAAAUACAUCAAUUUGUGCCAAACAAAGCGCAAAUUCGGAGCUAAGGACCUGUCUGACUACACAAAACACCCGCCGCCCCUAGCAGUAUCUACCUUGUGACGAUAUUCACUUCUAUGAUGGGGUAAACUCUGAUGUAAGAAUAGAUACACACUUCAAGGACACUAACCACAGGGAAGGCUACCAGCCAGCAGCACCCUCCCCCAGUUCUUCGACUACUUUUUUGCCAACGAAGAGUGGUAUUGACUGUUACAUUAUAACACCCUCACGGCUGAAAGAGCGAGCAUGAUCGGUGGCGGGUUUCGAUCCUGCGAUCCACAGAUUGCAAGUCGAGCACCCUAACGGCCAGAUCCGGUAGUCAUUCUAGUAAACUACGUUAAAUAAGGCUUAGAGCUGUUGGUUCGCUUUUCUUUUUCUUCUGUUGAUAUUUUCAAAACAAAAGAGCUUUUAAACUUGACAUUUGCUGUUAAAUAAAUGUGGUAGGGACAUUCAAGCCAUCUCUUUACAUUGAAUAAAGGUUUCCAAAUCUUAUUUCAUUUAAAUAUGUUGAACAGGGUUAAUAUAAAUGCUCACUCUGUUCACAUUAUUUGUUCACUUUGAACCAAGUUUUAUUUAUAGGUUCGGUUUUAUAAUUAUCAGGUUAAUUAUUUCUCUGAGCUGCUGGUAAUAUUAUGGUUAGUUUUAAAAUAAACUUGUCAAUUAGUUUCUCUAUGGAUGAGAACAGGUCUUCUAUCUUAAACUUCUUUAGUGUACUUUAACAAAACUGUAACUGUUUAUUCAACAAAUCGAAAAUACACUUUGUAUUAGA
Long non-coding RNA from Limulus polyphemus (Atlantic horseshoe crab), 1143 nucleotides. RefSeq lists it as uncharacterized. The record is from RefSeq and is a predicted model, not a curated record. NCBI's taxonomy places the organism in Eukaryota, Metazoa, Arthropoda, Merostomata, Xiphosura, Limulidae. The transcript has 2 exons.